UACGUAGGGUGCAAGCGUUGUCCGGAAUUAUUGGGCGUAAAGAGCUCGUAGGCGGUUUGUCGCGUCUGCUGUGAAAACCCGAGGCUCAACCUCGGGCCUGCAGUGGGUACGGGCAGACUAGAGUGCGGUAGGGGAGAUUGGAAUUCCUGGUGUAGAGGUGGAAUGCGCAGAUAUCAGGAGGAACACCGAUGGCGAAGGCAGAUCUCUGGGCCGUAACUGACGCUGAGGAGCGAAAGCAUGGGGAGCGAACAGG
This 253-nucleotide ribosomal RNA is filed under the name uncultured bacterium. RNAcentral describes it as "partial 16S ribosomal RNA". It matches the Rfam family "Bacterial small subunit ribosomal RNA", at positions 524 to 776 of the family's 1533-position model. The record is from RNAcentral.